This 1197-nucleotide long non-coding RNA is filed under the name Olea europaea (common olive). RNAcentral's name for it is "long non-coding RNA (OEUR_LNC013965)". The record is from RNAcentral. Lineage: Eukaryota; Viridiplantae; Streptophyta; Magnoliopsida; Lamiales; Oleaceae.
UCAUUUUUCACUUUUACAAACCUUUUCAUGUUCCAAUUUUUGGUUAAUUAUUUGAACCAAUUCCUACACAUUUUUCUCUAAGAAGAUACGUUAUUCAACUCUCCUUCGUAUAUUUACAGUGUAAGUGCUUGAAAGUGAGGCAAAAUUUUUAAAAAUAUUUCUGCUAUUAAGAUAGAGAAAGAGAACCUAAAUCGCAAAUUGAUCCCUCAACUAUUGUACAAGGAGAUACAAAAGCUAAUUUCAUUUUUCAACGGUUAAAUUAAAUUUUUCCUUAAUAAAUUUAAGAAAAAAUUUAAGUAAUAGUAUAGUAUAAGUAUAAUUGUUUCUAGGACAAGUAUACAUGUGUUUAUAGAGACUUUUUGUCGACUAGUAUCCUGAAGACAUUAACGUAUUUUUUACUUGUACAUAAAAAGCUAUACAUUAAAUAAUAAAUAAGUAGCUAUUAAAUUUAAACUUACAAGAAUUUUCACUUAAUAUACCAAACAUGAUGUCAAAAACAUAACAAGCCUUUUAAAACACGUAGUCGUUGUCUUACUCUGAGAUGUACGGAUAUAAAAUAUUUACAUAACUAAAAUUUUGGAAAUUAUAAAAAUAAAUUGCUAAUUCAUUUGAAAUUGACAUUUUAGAAAAAAACAAAAAGGUCGAGCUAGAAGGAAAGUGAAAUUAUUGUUGAUUUUUAGUCACAAUUCCUCCACCGUUGGUGGUCGAUUGUUUCUACCCUUUUUUUAUUAUAUCGUUUUCUAAGUUUUUAUAGUUUGAGAUAUAUGGCUUAACAAAUAAGAUUCGUUACAAGAACCGAACAAAGAAGUUGUUGUCUUGGAUCCUUUAAUUUUAGUUGUGAACUAUCGUAUGAAUGACAAUAAAACACACUCAAGAAUUUAAAUUUGAGACAAGAACGAAUUGAGAUUUUUAGUCACAAUUCCUCCACUGUUGGUGGUCGAUUGUUACUACCAUUUUUCUAUUAUAUCGUUUUUUAAGUAUUUAUAGUUUGAGAAUAUAUGGUUUAACAAAUAAGAUUCGUUACAAGAACCGAACAAAGAAGUUGUUGUCUUGAAUCCUUUAAUUUCAUUUGUGAACUAUCGUAUGAAUGACAAUAAAACACAUUCAAGAAUUUAUAAUUCAUAAUUUAAUUUAAAUUUGGGACAAGAAUCAAUUGAGAUUUUUAGUCAUAAUUCCUCAACUAUUGGUGGUCGAUUG